GGAUCUGCCAGCAGCCGUCUUGGGACCCUGAAGGAAACCAGCUUGAGCGUGAAGCCAGUCACAGAGGUGGGUAGAGAGGUGAGAUCUUGCUAUGUUGCCCAGGCUGGUCUUGAGCUCCUGGCCUCAAGUGGUCCUCCCACUUUGGCCUCCCAAAGUGCUGGGAUUACGGGCACAAGCCUCUGUGCUCAGCCCUCAACUUACUCUUAUUUCUGACUGCCGUCUGUAAUGGGAUACAUGCUGAGGCCAAAAAGAAUGUUCUUUAGAAAUGCAAUGAAAACCCUCAGCUUCCCUUCACCAGAUGCUCCCUACAUGAUACUCCCAGAUGAUCUCACUACCUGCUUACUUAGAAGCUCCAGAGCCAUGACUCUCUCUCACCAGGAGAUCGCCUCAAGAGACAACACUCAAUCUGCAACCUAAAGCAUGUCCACGAUGGAACUCGCUCCCACCUGGAGAGUAUCUCCAGACAAUGGCCACCUUACAACCUAGCUCUGCCCAGGAUGGCACCAGCUGGACCACUCAGUAGAUAAGGCGACACAUUUCUUAGGUUUUGAGAAGAGAUAGAUUAUUUAAUAAUCCAUUUCCCCAGGAUGGCAC
This is a long non-coding RNA of Pongo pygmaeus (Bornean orangutan), 594 nucleotides long. RefSeq lists it as uncharacterized. Lineage: Eukaryota; Metazoa; Chordata; Mammalia; Primates; Hominidae. The transcript is spliced from 4 exons. The record is from RefSeq and is a predicted model, not a curated record.